Molecule: unclassified non-coding RNA, 193 nt
Filed under: uncultured Cladophialophora
Lineage: Eukaryota; Fungi; Ascomycota; Eurotiomycetes; Chaetothyriales; Herpotrichiellaceae
Description: sequence contains ITS1
Source: RNAcentral
AAGAGUUAGGGUCUUCCAGGCCCGACCUCCCAACCCUAUGUUUACUGAGCCUCUCGUUGCUUCGGCGGACCCGUCUCACGACCGCCGGAGGACUGCUUAAAGGCGUCCUCUGGCCAGCGUCCGCCGAUGGCCAACCAUUGAAACUCUGAAUAAAUCGUGUCUCUAUCUCUAAGUCUUAUUUAAAAUAAAAGCA